AAUUAAAUAUAUAUAUAUAUAUAUAAAAAUA
RNAcentral lists this transfer RNA (31 nucleotides) under Halictus quadricinctus. Its description in RNAcentral is "tRNA-Leu". Lineage: Eukaryota; Metazoa; Arthropoda; Insecta; Hymenoptera; Halictidae. The record is from RNAcentral.